RNAcentral lists this long non-coding RNA (2463 nucleotides) under Nicotiana benthamiana. Its description in RNAcentral is "long non-coding RNA (NBEN_LNC039223)". The record is from RNAcentral. Lineage: Eukaryota; Viridiplantae; Streptophyta; Magnoliopsida; Solanales; Solanaceae.
ACAAACAUCAUAUAAGAGCCCUCAUUUUUUACUAAUCAUCCAGCAUCUGUUUACAAAUAAUAUUAUUAAAGAACAGGAUCAAAUGAAUUAAAUAAGUAAAUGAAACUAUACUAUAGGGAGCCUAAAUCAGGCCCAAAGUAAACCUGAGAAUGCCAGGCCUUCAAUAGAAUCUCAGAAGCCAAAGAUUUCACAGCCAAUAAUAUAUGUCUAGCUGUAUCAGAGUUCCCUAAGGAUUUCAAGGAUCCCGAUCAGUGCUUAUAUCAAGACCUCUCAUAAAAUAGGGAUUGGUUAUGUGCAGUGUGGAAAGGCCAGCCCUGGUAUGCCAGAGUUUAGAGAGAUCUCAAGGAUCCCUAAGCAGUACACAUACCAGAGGGGCUGAACUUAAUAGUCUACGAGUAGGGUGAGAGUGCUUGAUAUAACGUUGAAAGACUUAGUAAACCAGUUAGAAGUGAAAAUAUUCAGAAAUAAUUUUGAAGACACUGGGGGUGACCAAAUUUAAGAAGAAUGCUAGGAGUAGAAGCAACGGUUUUGAAAUCAUUCUUUGAGGAAACUCAGCAAACAAACCAAUUAAUCAUUGAAUACCCAAAUUUACUUGACAAGCAGACUUACAAAUAAAGGGUGAAGGGACUGGGAACAUAUAGGGUUAAAAUCACAUAAAUAGGAAAACAUAUGAUACAACAAAUGUACAGAAUAACUAGGAGUCUACUGAACAAAUCAGUCAUGAUAACAGAUAGCUAAAAUAUAGGGAAAGAAUGCAAUAGGAUCAGGUUAAAGAUAAGAGUUUGUUGAACAAAAUUUGGAAUGCAAUUAGGGCCAAUAGAAUGCACUAACAUUGUCAUACAAAUUAAAGGGAGGGGUAAGGGAAGUAAGUAAACAUACUGGACAAUUAUCAAAGGACUAAAUGAAGUCGGUCAUGCUGAUACACAUAAGGCAAAAUUUGGACAUGCUUAAUAACAACAAAUAGAGAAACAAAUUGAAUAACUAAUACAGGAACAAACAUAGAUGUAUAUGCAUAAAACACAUAAAGUUGAGUUUCAGAAUCUAACUGGAGACAUACCAGUUAAAGAAGGGAAAUGCAGAAUAUGAAAAAUAGGUACAACUCCACUAUCUAGACUUGGCUUUCAGCCGGCUAGACCAACAGUCAUCACAAGUAGCAAAGAAAGAAGAGAGAGUUUGGAUGCAUUUGUGUGUAUUCGAUAUAGUGUGUUCGUGUCUUGAAUGGACCAUACUGAUAGUGCUCAUAUAGCAAUUCAAGAGUAGAGCCAAAAUAAGGUAAAGGAAUCAGUAUUCAGUCAAAUAAGGAAAUCAUAGGAUUGCAGAAUCCAAUCACAUAAAGGAGUUCAGAGUAGACUCCUUAAUUAGGGAUAAUUGAUCAAACUGUAAUAAUAUGGGUCUAACUAAGGAAAGAAUCCUAAUCAUACCAUAUAAAGGAAUCAGUAAGAAUCCAUGAACCAUACGGAUAGUUUACUAAGGCAUGGCAGGUAAAUAUUGAGAAUAAGGUAAAGAAGUAACCAAAUAAUCAAUCAAUGCUUCAGUGGGAUAGGAAAUUAGGGAAUUAUGCCAUAGAUAACUCCAAUUGAAUCUCAAAUAAGGCAAGAAGUAGGUUUAACAUUCAGUUAGGAUUAGAGCCCAUAAAUCAAGCAACCAAUCACACCAAUAAGGCAACCGUAGAUAAUUAAAGACCAAUCAGAGGUCAGUUAAUCCAUAAAUAGGCAAGAGAUGUAAAUUAAGAACCUCAUGAUUAAGGGAAACAAAUAAAAAUCAUUAAAUCACUUUAGUAAAUAAAUGAAGCCCUAUAGAAUUAGGCUAAUCGAUUUAAUUAUUCCAAAAAUAACGACAAAUAAGUUGAAAUCAAACAAUGAAUAGUCAGUCAAUUUAAAAACACUUAAGGUUGAUUGUAAGUAUAGAAAUCAAAGGACCCUUAAAGAAAACAACUAUGGAAACCUGAAACACUUCAAAAUAGGCAGGGAUUCGGACAACAAAUAAUAAAGAAACCAGAAACCCUAGAAUAACAUAGUGUUGAAAUCGAUUAAUAGUAAGGACGUAAGAGAACCUUAAAGAAAAUAAGUGACAAACUCCGAAUUGCUCCAGAUUUACAAAGAUCUGAACCGAUUCAAGUCCAAACAUUGGGUUUUUGAAGAAAAAAGGAAAGGGUAAAGGGAAAUCUGGUCUUGAACCAGAGAUUUGAACCGUAAAACAUUGAUAGAAAAGCACUCAUAGACUAUCCACGGACUCUUAGAGGGUCUUAAAUAAGAUGUGGACUAGAUCUCUUCGAGAUCUUUCCAUGAAAUUACAGAAAUGAGCGACCAUGAGAUGUAGGAGACAAGCAGGGGUCUCAAACACCCAUAGAAACCCAUGGAUCGAGUGAGGAUCAGAGGGAUUAGGGCUGGUUUUGGGUGGUGAUGGCUAGGGUUAGACCUGGUCUUAGAGAGAGUUUGAGAGACGAGGGAACGAAGGGCAGAG